UAGGGAAUCUUCCGCAAUGGACGCAAGCCUGACGGAGCAACGCCGCGUGAGUGAAGAAGGACUUCGGUUCGUAAAACUCUGUUGUUAGAGAAGAACAGCGCAUAGAGUAACUGUUAUGCGUGUGACGGUAUCUAACCAGAAAGCCACGGCUAACUACGUGCCAGCAGCCGCGGUAAUACGUAGGUGGCAAGCGUUGUCCGGAUUUAUUGGGCGUAAAGCGAGCGCAGGCGGUCAAUUAAGUCUGAUGUGAAAGCCCCCGGCUCAACCGGGGAGGGUCAUUGGAAACUGGUUGACUUGAGUGCAGAAGAGGAGGGUGGAAUUCCAUGUGUAGCGGUGAAAUGCGUAGAUAUAUGGAGGAACACCAGUGGCGAAGGCGACUCUCUGGUCUGUAACUGACGCUGAGGCUCGAAAGCGUGGGUAGCAAACAGG
RNAcentral lists this ribosomal RNA (429 nucleotides) under Bacteroidota bacterium. Its description in RNAcentral is "Bacteroidetes bacterium partial 16S ribosomal RNA". It matches the Rfam family "Bacterial small subunit ribosomal RNA", at positions 355 to 776 of the family's 1533-position model. Lineage: Bacteria; Pseudomonadati; Bacteroidota. The record is from RNAcentral.